AACGAACGCUGGCGGCGUGCCUAACACAUGCAAGUCGUGCGAGAAAGUUCCUUCGGGAGCGAGUAAAGCGGCGCACGGGUGAGUAACACGUAGGUAACCUGCCCCCCAGUCUGGAACAACUAGAGGAAACUCUAGCUAAUGCCGGAUGAGACCACGAUCCCCUUCGGGGGUUGCGGCCAAAGAUGGCCUCUACUUGUAAGCUAUCGCUGAGGGAUGGGCCUGCGGGACCAUUAGCUUGUUGGUGAGGUAACGGCUCACCAAGGCUGUGAUGGCUAGCUGGUCUGAGA
This 287-nucleotide ribosomal RNA is filed under the name uncultured bacterium. RNAcentral describes it as "partial 16S ribosomal RNA". It matches the Rfam family "Bacterial small subunit ribosomal RNA", at positions 29 to 297 of the family's 1533-position model. The record is from RNAcentral.